Drosophila melanogaster (fruit fly) is the source of this 328-nucleotide non-coding RNA. NCBI's taxonomy places the organism in Eukaryota, Metazoa, Arthropoda, Insecta, Diptera, Drosophilidae. The record is from Ensembl.
AUUAAAUCAAAUUGAAGAUUUCGCCAGCCAUUGCGUGAGAAGUUGCCCCAUUCCGAGGCACAUACGUAGCUUUGGGUCGCGGCCAUCAAUCAAUGGCGUAGCACGGCACGCCUAUAAUCUCGAAUCCCCAUAUAUACCCACUGUACAACGCCGUGGUGCGCUUAUCAAUCCAAUUGAGUGCGCUGUUAUUAAUAACAAUACCCGUGCUUUAUAUUAAACGCGUUGACUGUUGCAUCAACGCCCCUCAGAAGCACACAGCGCGUCAAUAAAAGUUGGAUGAGUAAUCCCAGUGGACUCGGGUUACCAACUGCCAGUGGAAUGCAUAUGU